AUAUGGUUAGCUCAGCAUGGUAGAGCAUACGUACAGCGAGAUGCGUACGGACGGUCGCGGGUUCAAAUCCACGCACUGUAUUCA
RNAcentral lists this transfer RNA (84 nucleotides) under Siphoviridae sp. ctuBK6. RNAcentral's name for it is "tRNA-OTHER". Lineage: Duplodnaviria; Heunggongvirae; Uroviricota; Caudoviricetes. RNAcentral also lists the same sequence under 1 other name. The record is from RNAcentral.